RNAcentral lists this unclassified non-coding RNA (503 nucleotides) under Hevea brasiliensis (rubber tree). The record is from RNAcentral. Lineage: Eukaryota; Viridiplantae; Streptophyta; Magnoliopsida; Malpighiales; Euphorbiaceae.
GUUAAAAAAAAAAAAAAACAUGUACAUGAGCAUAAAUCCAAACAUGAUAAAAUAAUAAAAAUUGCAUAGCACUAAUAAAAUGGCCUAAUCACAAAAAAAAUCCAAACAUUUUCACGAAAUUGCAAUUCAACCCAAUGGUUUUUAAUUUUAGCAAUUUUGGCUAAAUUGCGCAAAUUGAUUACAAUUGUAUCAAAUUGAUAAAAAUAAGGUUUCCCUUUGUACCUAACUGUCCAAAAUUAGGCUUAUAAUUAUCAAUCUCUCCCCUCACUAUAGUUUUUGGCCAAAAAAUUAGCCGAAAUUGUCAAAAUUGGAACCCUAAUUUUGAUCAAUUGGAUAAAAUUGCAACAAAUAUGUUGAAAUUAGCCAAAAUUGAACCAUUGGAUUAAAUUGCAAUUCAACAAAAUGUUGGGCUUUUUUUUUAUCAGUAGGCCCAGUUAAAUUAGCCAUAACUCACGUAUUCAUGAAGAAGAAGAAAGAGAAGAUUUAGAAGCUCACGAGUUCUG